This 73-nucleotide transfer RNA is filed under the name Spirochaetia bacterium. RNAcentral describes it as "tRNA-Lys". It matches the Rfam family "tRNA". From Rfam's summary of the family: Transfer RNA (tRNA) molecules are approximately 80 nucleotides in length. Their secondary structure includes four short double-helical elements and three loops (D, anti-codon, and T loops). The record is from RNAcentral. RNAcentral also lists the same sequence under 1 other name. Lineage: Bacteria; Pseudomonadati; Spirochaetota; Spirochaetia.
GAGACGGUAGCUCAGUCGGUAGAGCAAGUGCCUUUUAAGCACUGGGUCGCGGGUUCGAUUCCCGCCCGUCUCA